Molecule: ribosomal RNA, 1382 nt
Filed under: Agromyces fucosus
Lineage: Bacteria; Bacillati; Actinomycetota; Actinomycetes; Micrococcales; Microbacteriaceae
Description: bacterial SSU rRNA
Rfam family: Bacterial small subunit ribosomal RNA
Source: RNAcentral
UGCAAGUCGAACGAUGAACUCCAGCUUGCUGGGGGGAUUAGUGGCGAACGGGUGAGUAACACGUGAGUAACCUGCCCUGGACUCUGGGAUAACCCCGAGAAAUCGGAGCUAAUACCGGAUAGGACCUGGAACCGCAUGGUUUUGGGUGGAAAGUUUUUUCGGUCUGGGAUGGACUCGCGGCCUAUCAGCUUGUUGGUGAGGUAAUGGCUCACCAAGGCGUCGACGGGUAGCCGGCCUGAGAGGGUGACCGGCCACACUGGGACUGAGACACGGCCCAGACUCCUACGGGAGGCAGCAGUGGGGAAUAUUGCACAAUGGGCGAAAGCCUGAUGCAGCAACGCCGCGUGAGGGAUGACGGCCUUCGGGUUGUAAACCUCUUUUAGUAAGGAAGAAGGGGAGCUUGCUCCUUGACGGUACUUGCAGAAAAAGGACCGGCUAACUACGUGCCAGCAGCCGCGGUAAUACGUAGGGUCCGAGCGUUGUCCGGAAUUAUUGGGCGUAAAGAGCUCGUAGGCGGUUUGUCACGUCUGCUGUGAAAUCCCGAGGCUCAACCUCGGGCCUGCAGUGGGUACGGGCAGACUGGAGUGCGGUAGGGGAGAUUGGAAUUCCUGGUGUAGCGGUGGAAUGCGCAGAUAUCAGGAGGAACACCGAUGGCGAAGGCAGAUCUCUGGGCCGUAACUGACGCUGAGGAGCGAAAGCGUGGGGAGCGAACAGGAUUAGAUACCCUGGUAGUCCACGCCGUAAACGUUGGGCGCUAGAUGUGGGGACCAUUCCACGGUUUCCGUGUCGUAGCUAACGCAUUAAGCGCCCCGCCUGGGGAGUACGGCCGCAAGGCUAAAACUCAAAGGAAUUGACGGGGGCCCGCACAAGCGGCGGAGCAUGCGGAUUAAUUCGAUGCAACGCGAAGAACCUUACCAAGGCUUGACAUAUACGAGAACGCUGCAGAAAUGUGGAACUCUUUGGACACUCGUAUACAGGUGGUGCAUGGUUGUCGUCAGCUCGUGUCGUGAGAUGUUGGGUUAAGUCCCGCAACGAGCGCAACCCUCGUCGUAUGUUGCCAGCACGUAAUGGUGGGAACUCAUAUGAGACUGCCGGGGUCAACUCGGAGGAAGGUGGGGAUGACGUCAAAUCAUCAUGCCCCUUAUGUCUUGGGCUUCACGCAUGCUACAAUGGCCGGUACAAAGGGCUGCGAUGUCGUAAGGCGGAGCGAAUCCCAAAAAGCCGGUCUCAGUUCGGAUUGAGGUCUGCAACUCGACCUCAUGAAGUCGGAGUCGCUAGUAAUCGCAGAUCAGCAACGCUGCGGUGAAUACGUUCCCGGGCCUUGUACACACCGCCCGUCAAGUCAUGAAAGUCGGUAACACCCGAAGCCGGUGGCCUAACCC